UCCGUGGCUCGAGGACGAACGCUGGCGGCGUGCUUAACACAUGCAAGUCGAGCGGAAAGGCCCUUUCGGGGGUACUCGAGCGGCGAACGGGUGAGUAACACGUGAGUAAUCUGCCCUUGGCUUUGGGAUAACUACCGGAAACGGUGGCUAAUACCGGAUAUGACCAUGCUCGGCAUCGGGUGUGGUGGAAAGUUUUUUCGGCCAGGGAUGUGCUCGCGGCCUAUCAGCUUGUUGGUGGGGUAAUGGCCUACCAAGGCUUCGACGGGUAGCCGGCCUGAGAGGGUGACCGGCCACACUGGGACUGAGACACGGCCCAGACUCCUACGGGAGGCAGCAGUGGGGAAUAUUGGACAAUGGGCGGAAGCCUGAUCCAGCAACGCCGCGUGAGGGAUGACGGCCUUCGGGUUGUAAACCUCUUUCAGUACCGACGAAGCGCCGAUGAUGGUGGUGACGGUAGGUACAGAAGAAGCACCGGCCAACUACGUG
Molecule: ribosomal RNA, 486 nt
Filed under: uncultured bacterium
Lineage: Bacteria
Description: bacterial SSU rRNA
Rfam family: Bacterial small subunit ribosomal RNA
Source: RNAcentral